This is a non-coding RNA of Salmo salar (Atlantic salmon), 54 nucleotides long. Lineage: Eukaryota; Metazoa; Chordata; Actinopteri; Salmoniformes; Salmonidae. The record is from Rfam.
AAUGCCCCAAUUUGUAAGUCGCUCUGGAUAAGAGCGUCUGCUAAAUGACUUAAA